This 331-nucleotide ribosomal RNA is filed under the name uncultured Cellulomonas sp. RNAcentral describes it as "bacterial SSU rRNA". It matches the Rfam family "Bacterial small subunit ribosomal RNA", at positions 1053 to 1382 of the family's 1533-position model. Lineage: Bacteria; Bacillati; Actinomycetota; Actinomycetes; Micrococcales; Cellulomonadaceae. The record is from RNAcentral.
CGUCAGCUCGUGUCGUGAGAUGUUGGGUUAAGUCCCGCAACGAGCGCAACCCUCGUCCUAUGUUGCCAGCGGGUCAUGCCGGGACUCAUGGGAGACUGCCGGGGGUCAACUCGGAGGAAGGUGGGGAUGACGUCAAAUCAUCAUGCCCCUUAUGUCUUGGGCUUCACGCAUGCUACAAUGGCCGGUACAAAGGGCUGCGAUACCGCGAGGUGGAGCGAAUCCCAGAAAGCCGGUCUCAGUUCGGAUUGGGGUCUGCAACUCGACCCCAUGAAGUCGGAGUCGCUAGUAAUCGCAGAUCAGCAACGCUGCGGUGAAUACGUUCCCGGGCCUU